CCUACGGGAGGCAGCAGUGAGGAAUAUUGGUCAAUGGGCGGGAGCCUGAACCAGCCAAGUCGCGUGAGGGAAGACGGUCCUAUGGAUUGUAAACCUCUUUAGGCGGGGAGCAAUGCCGGGCACGUGUGCCCGGAGGGAGAGUACCCGCAGAAUAAGCAUCGGCUAACUCCGUGCCAGCAGCCGCGGUAAUACGGAGGAUGCGAGCGUUAUCCGGAUUUAUUGGGUUUAAAGGGUGCGUAGGCGGUUCGAUAAGUUAGAGGUGAAAUCCCGGGGCUCAACUCCGGCACUGCCUCUGAUACUGUCGG
RNAcentral lists this ribosomal RNA (305 nucleotides) under uncultured bacterium. RNAcentral describes it as "bacterial SSU rRNA". It matches the Rfam family "Bacterial small subunit ribosomal RNA", at positions 338 to 639 of the family's 1533-position model. The record is from RNAcentral.